RNAcentral lists this unclassified non-coding RNA (1044 nucleotides) under Hevea brasiliensis (rubber tree). The record is from RNAcentral. Lineage: Eukaryota; Viridiplantae; Streptophyta; Magnoliopsida; Malpighiales; Euphorbiaceae.
AUUUUAUUCUGUUAACGUGAAAAUGGGAUCACGUUACGAAGUUGAAGUAAAAAUAACUUCAGCCAAAGAUUUGAAGAACAUCAACUGGCGUUACGGUCCACUCAAACCAUACGCAGUUGUCUGGGUUGAUCCUAAUGCUAAAUGCUCCACUAGAGUCGAUGAAGAUGGUGAUACUUCCCCUUAUUGGAACGAUAAACUUGUGAUUCCUUUGUAUUCUCCCAUUGAUGAAUCCGUAUUGUAUAUCGAUAUGGUUCACGCUGUUGGCGCUGAAGAGGACACAAAGCCUCUUAUCGGAUCCGCUAAGAUUCCUCUUAGCGAAGUCGUAGAGGAGGCUGGGGUAGGCGGUGAGGUGGAGCGUACGCUCCAACUCAAACGCCCUUCUGGCCGUCCUCAAGGGAAGGUAAAAGUACAGGUUACCGUACGCGACCCACGCUAUCGUGCGCGGGAUGCCUAUUACGCACCUCCGUACGGUGUGCCCCCUCCGGCCCAGCCUUAUAAUUAUGGGGCCCCAAUUCUGCCUUACGGGCAGCCGGGUGUGGGUAAUUACGGUCAGGCAGGUGGUGUUUAUGGUUACGAAGAGGAGAAGAAGAAGAGUAAAUUUGGCAUGGGGACAGGAUUGGCAGUGGGUGCAGUAGCGGGGGUAUUGGGUGGAGUGGCGAUAGCAGAGGGUAUUGAUCACUUGGAGAAUAGUAUCGCGGAAGAUGCGGCGGAGAAAGUGGAGGAAGAUCUCGCCGACGACGAUGGUGAUUACGGCGAUGAUGACUUUUAAUUAAGCUACCGUUAAGUAAUAUUCUUACAGUAUUUUUUACGCCCAAUAAAGUCAGUGAGUGAGUAGGAGCUAUUGUGAAAAAGGAAGAAGGGAAUAAGCUUAUAUUUUCUAGUAAAUCAUUAAUAUUGGCUUCUCACAAAGCAAAGAAAAAAAUUUGGAUACUAUUAUUUAAUGAUAGAUUUUAACUCGAUCGAAUAUAUCCAAUGUUAUAGAGAAAAGUUGUUCGAGAUAUAUAUUUUUGAGUGUUUGAAAAAGUUUAUUUGUAUCGAUAUUUA